GCAGCCAGAGGCACCAUGACUUGGAAGGCCCUUCUCAUCAGCCUCCUGGCUCAUUACACAGGUUCUGUAGCCUCUUAUGUACUGACUCAGCCAUCCUCAGUAUCAGUGACCCCAGGACAGACGGCCAGAAUCACCUGUGGAGGAAACAACAUUGGUAGUAAAAAUGUGUACUGGUACCAGCAGAAGCCAGCACAGUCCCCCCUGCUCAUCAUCUAUGGUGAUAGCUACCGGCCCUCAGGGAUCCCUGACCGAUUCUCUGGCUCCAACUCUGGAAACACAGCCACCUUGGCCAUCAGUGGGGCCCAGGCUGGAGACGAGGCUGACUAUUACUGUCAAGUGUGGGAUGGUAGUGCUGUUCACAGUGACACAGGCAGACAGGGAAGUGAGACAAAAACCUGCCACCAGCCUGACACCAAAGGCCACUUCCUGCCCUGGAUACCCUGA
Molecule: non-coding RNA, 444 nt
Organism: Ictidomys tridecemlineatus (thirteen-lined ground squirrel)
Lineage: Eukaryota; Metazoa; Chordata; Mammalia; Rodentia; Sciuridae
Source: the annotation of a RefSeq genome assembly